This 817-nucleotide ribosomal RNA is filed under the name uncultured Chlorobiota bacterium. Its description in RNAcentral is "bacterial SSU rRNA". It matches the Rfam family "Bacterial small subunit ribosomal RNA", at positions 8 to 844 of the family's 1533-position model. The record is from RNAcentral. Lineage: Bacteria; Pseudomonadati; Chlorobiota.
AGGGUUUGAUCCUGGCUCAGGACGAACGCUGGCGGCGUGCUUAAUACAUGCAAGUCUAAGGGUUUGUCUUCCUUCGGGAAGACAGACACUGGCGCACGGGUGAGUAACACGUAAGUCAUCUGCCCUUGGGUCUGGCACAACUCCGGGAAACCGGGGCUAAUUCCAGAUGAUACCGAAAGGUCAAAGUUUCGACGCCCAAGGAUGAGCUUGCGUCUGAUUAGCUAGUUGGCGGGGUAAUGGCCCACCAAGGCGACGAUCAGUAGCCGGUCUGAGAGGAUGAUCGGCCACAUUGGGACUGAGACACGGCCCAGACUCCUACGGGAGGCAGCAGUAAGGAAUAUUGCGCAAUGGACGAAAGUCUGACGCAGCAACGCCGCGUGCAGGAUGACGGCCCUUUGGGUUGUAAACUGCUGUAGCAGGGGAAUAAGAGCCCACUCGGUGGGUGUGAAGGUACCCUGAAAGUAAGCUCCGGCUAACUACGUGCCAGCAGCCGCGGUAAUACGUAGGGAGCAAGCGUUGUCCGGAUUCACUGGGUGUAAAGGGUGCGCAGGCGGGUUGGCAAGUCAGAGGUGAAAUCUCACAGCUUAACUGUGAAACUGCCUUUGAUACUUCCAAUCUUGAGUUAAAGAGAGGUUGAUGGAAUUUCAGGUGUAGCGGUGAAAUGCGUAGAUAUCUGAAAGAACACCAGUGGCGAAGGCGGUCAACUGGCUUUUAACUGACGCUCAGGCACGAAAGCGUGGGUAGCGAACAGGAUUAGAUACCCUGGUAGUCCACGCCCUAAACGAUGAAUACUUGGUGUUGGACCGUAAGGUUCAGU